RNAcentral lists this ribosomal RNA (279 nucleotides) under uncultured Staphylococcus sp. RNAcentral describes it as "partial 16S ribosomal RNA". It matches the Rfam family "Bacterial small subunit ribosomal RNA", at positions 83 to 354 of the family's 1533-position model. The record is from RNAcentral. Lineage: Bacteria; Bacillati; Bacillota; Bacilli; Caryophanales; Staphylococcaceae.
CCUUUGACGUUAGCGGCGGACGGGUGAGUAACACGUGGGUAACCUACCUAUAAGACUGGGAUAACUUCGGGAAACCGGAGCUAAUACCGGAUAAUAUUUCGAACCGCAUGGUUCGAUAGUGAAAGAUGGUUUUGCUAUCACUUAUAGAUGGACCCGCGCCGUAUUAGCUAGUUGGUAAGGUAACGGCUUACCAAGGCGACGAUACGUAGCCGACCUGAGAGGGUGAUCGGCCGCACUGGAACUGAGACACGGUCCAGACUCCUACGGGAGGCAGCAGGG